This 255-nucleotide long non-coding RNA is filed under the name Gossypium barbadense (sea-island cotton). RNAcentral's name for it is "long non-coding RNA (GBAR_LNC017332)". Lineage: Eukaryota; Viridiplantae; Streptophyta; Magnoliopsida; Malvales; Malvaceae. The record is from RNAcentral.
UCUCUUUCCAUUUGAUUUUACCAGCUGCUGAGAAACCUGUCUCCAUUGUGAGAAGGGAGAAGGAGAAAGUGAAAAUCGAAUGGCUGAGGGAGGAAACAUUGAGGCAUCAAGAGGGGAAACCACUCCUUUUAAUCUGCUAACUCUCCUUAUCGUCCAGGAAUUGGGUCCGAUUUGACCCCCCCGUUUACAAGCGGCCACGGCGGCCAUUAAAUGGGAAUUUUGAAUAGAAUAAAAAAAAUGCAAACUGAAAAUCCC